UGCCUCUUUUCCACGGCCUCAG
Molecule: microRNA, 22 nt
Filed under: Homo sapiens (human)
Lineage: Eukaryota; Metazoa; Chordata; Mammalia; Primates; Hominidae
Description: hsa-miR-6781-3p
Source: miRBase by way of RNAcentral